GAUGAACGCUGGCGGCGUGCCUAAUACAUGCAAGUCGAGCGAACGGACGAGAAGCUUGCUUCUCUGAUGUUAGCGGCGGACGGGUGAGUAACACGUGGAUAACCUACCUAUAAGACUGGGAUAACUUCGGGAAACCGGAGCUAAUACCGGAUAAUAUUUUGAACCGCAUGGUUCAAAAGUGAAAGACGGUCUUGCUGUCACUUAUAGAUGGAUCCGCGCUGCAUUAGCUAGUUGGUAAGGUAACGGCUUACCAAGGCAACGAUGCAUAGCCGACCUGAGAGGGGGAUCGGCCACACUGGAACUGAGACACGGUCCAGACUCCUACGGGAGGAAGCAGUAGGGAAUCUUCCGCAAUGGGCGAAAGCCUGACGGAGCAACGCCGCGUGAGUGAUGAAGGUCUUCGGAUCGUAAAACUCUGUUAUUAGGGAAGAACAUAUGUGUAAGUAACUGUGCACAUCUUGACGGUACCUAAUCAGAAAGCCACGGCUAACUACGUG
This 497-nucleotide ribosomal RNA is filed under the name uncultured bacterium. RNAcentral describes it as "partial 16S ribosomal RNA". It matches the Rfam family "Bacterial small subunit ribosomal RNA", at positions 28 to 507 of the family's 1533-position model. The record is from RNAcentral.